This 63-nucleotide transfer RNA is filed under the name Taenia martis (marten tapeworm). RNAcentral describes it as "tRNA-Gln". Lineage: Eukaryota; Metazoa; Platyhelminthes; Cestoda; Cyclophyllidea; Taeniidae. The record is from RNAcentral.
UUUAAUGAGGUGAUUUGUGCAUUUUACAUUUUGGAUGUAAAGGUGAUUAGAUAUCCAUUAAAA